RNAcentral lists this ribosomal RNA (253 nucleotides) under uncultured bacterium. Its description in RNAcentral is "partial 16S ribosomal RNA". It matches the Rfam family "Bacterial small subunit ribosomal RNA", at positions 524 to 776 of the family's 1533-position model. The record is from RNAcentral.
UACGUAGGGGGCAAGCGUUAUCCGGAUUUACUGGGUGUAAAGGGAGCGCAGACGGCAGUGCAAGUCUGGAGUGAAAGCCCGGGGCCCAACCCCGGGACUGCUCUGGAAACUGUACGGCUAGAGUACGGGAGGGGCAGGUGGAAUUCCUAGUGUAGCGGUGAAAUGCGUAGAUAUUAGGAGGAACACCGGCGGCGAAGGCGGCCUGCUGGACCGAAACUGACGUUGAGGCUCGAAAGCGUGGGGAGCAAACAGG